This 148-nucleotide non-coding RNA is filed under the name Gorilla gorilla gorilla (western lowland gorilla). The record is from Rfam by way of RNAcentral. Lineage: Eukaryota; Metazoa; Chordata; Mammalia; Primates; Hominidae.
GCCGGGCAUGGUGGUGCAUGCCUGUAAUCCCAGCUACUUGGGAGGCUGAGGCAGGAGAAUUGCUUGAACCCGGGAGGUGGAGGUUGCAGUGAGCCGAGAUCAUGCCACUGCACUCCAGCCUGGGCAACAGAGUGAGACUCCGUCUCAA